CCUACGGGUGGCAGCAGUGAGGAAUAUUGGUCAAUGGGCGGAAGCCUGAACCAGCCAAGUAGCGUGCAGGAUGACGGCCCUACGGGUUGUAAACUGCUUUUAUACGGGAAUAACGCGCCUUACGUGUAGGGCUUUGCAUGUACCGUAUGAAUAAGGUCCGGAUAAUUCCGUGCCCGCAGCCGCGGUAAUACGGAAGGUCCGGGCGUUCUCCGGAUUUAUUGGGUUUAAAGGGAACGUAGGCCGCAUGUCAAGCGUGCUGUGAAAUGUCCGGGCUCAACCCGGGCCUUGCAGCGCGAACUGGCGUGCUUGAGUCCGCGGAAAGCAGGCAGAAUUCGUCGUGUAGCGGUGAAAUGCUUAGAUAUGACGAAGAAUCCCGAUUGCGAAGGCAGCUUGCUGCAGCGGAACUGACGCUGAUGCUCGAAAGCGCGGGUAUCGAACAGGAUUAGAUACCCGGGUAGUC
RNAcentral lists this ribosomal RNA (460 nucleotides) under uncultured bacterium. RNAcentral's name for it is "partial 16S ribosomal RNA". It matches the Rfam family "Bacterial small subunit ribosomal RNA", at positions 338 to 795 of the family's 1533-position model. The record is from RNAcentral.